GUUUAAUCCUUAUUUGAGUAAUCUGACCUGAGGAGAUAGCCAAACUGUGUGAUUACCAUUCCCAACUAGACUUUUGAGAUGGGCAGAUCACCUGAGGUCAAGAGUUCGAGGCCAGCCUGCCUAACAUGGUGAAACCCUGUCUCUACUAAAGGUGGCACGCACCUGUAGUCCCAGGUACUGGGGAGGCUGUAGUGGGAGGAUCACCUGAGCCCCUGGGAAAUCGAGGCUGCGGUGCUUGUGUUGGUUUGCUAAUGUUUCUGUAACAAAGUACCACAAACUAGGUGGCUUCAACAACAGAAAUUUAUUGUCUCACAGUUCUGGAGGCCAGCAGUCCAAGAUCAGGGUGUUGGCAGGGUUGUUUUUUUCUUAAGACGUGAGGAAGAAUCUGUUCCAUGACUCUCCCCUAACUUCUGGUGGUUUGCUGGUAAUCUUUGCUGUUUCUUGGCUUGUAGACAUAUCACCUUGAUCUCUGCGUUGAUGUUCACUUGCUGUUUUUUCUGUGUGUAUGUCUGCCUCUGGAUUUCCCCUUUUAUCAGGACACCAGUCAUGUCAGAUUAAGGCAAACUCUA
This 569-nucleotide long non-coding RNA is filed under the name Pan troglodytes (chimpanzee). RNAcentral describes it as "long non-coding RNA NONPTRT004282". The record is from RNAcentral. Lineage: Eukaryota; Metazoa; Chordata; Mammalia; Primates; Hominidae.